Long non-coding RNA from Gymnodraco acuticeps, 744 nucleotides. RefSeq lists it as uncharacterized. The transcript is spliced from 3 exons. Lineage: Eukaryota; Metazoa; Chordata; Actinopteri; Perciformes; Bathydraconidae. The record is from RefSeq and is a predicted model, not a curated record.
CCUCGAGUUGAGACGUUCAUCCACUCAUUCAUGCUGUCGUCAUCCUUGUCAAUAAACUACCGAAACUGACAUUGAGGAGUGUGUUUCUUCAGGGUCUACGUGAUUAAUUUGGGCGACUUGGAGCCAGCGUCAAUCCACACGGACGAGACCAUUACCAGGACCAUUGGAGUGAAAACACAGCCCAUGUUGGACGGCCUGUUCCCAAACUCCAUGGCGACUAAACACACAGGGGAGGCUCACAAUGUAACACACAAACACACGCACACACACGUAGCCUCCAGUUCUGAGGAGUUAGCAAAACACUGUUGGAUGGGAAUAUAUUGUAAGAAAUAAAAUCAAUAUUGUGCCGGAACUUUAAAUGAAUAUACAGUUUUAUUCUGAAACCGCAUGUCGACCUCCGGUUUCACGUUAAUCAUUGUUUUUAGCCAUUAGCAUGUAGCUAAUGGUAUAUUGUGAAUAUAGGGGGAAUGAUACGUUGUGUUGCAUACUAAACACACUGUCUUCAACUCUCACUUAUUGACGCUGCAAUACUAUUAUUAGGGAAUGUUUAAAUGACCAACAGAUAUUAUAUUAGAAGAUUGUAAAUCUAACAUCAGAAAACGACAGGACGUGCCUUGGACCCGCCCCCGUCGACACUAAGCCAAUGGGAGAAGACUACAGAUGAUAAAUAUGUGACACGAAGUCGGUCUCUUUCUCAUCCCCUGCGACUGGAUGGAGCAAGCUCGGCCCGGCUAACCUUUUGCA